GUCCGCCGGGUUGGACCCUUUCGGCGCCUGUUGUCCCCCUCCUCAUGUGCUGAGUGUUGAGCGCGAUGUUUGUUACGUUGUUACGUUGCUUUCAGUGGAUCAGUAUGUGAGCUGGAUACAAUUGAACGCGAAUUUCGUGUAGUGGGUUUUAAGGUGACUUUAUCGUUGGAUAAUACACAAGAAUUGUUACUAUGCAUCGGACUUCAAGUAUGCCACAGGUUGAUGUUGAAUCUUAAUAAUAUGCAAAAUAUUCAUCUCCUUGACUGACGUCACCCUGAGGAAGUGUUUGCAAGAAGCUCCAAGAGCACAGGGACCUCGCUUCAGCUCCAGUUCAGUAUCAGAAGACUGGCUUUGCUACAGAUUUCAAAAAGCCUGAAGAUAAUGUGACUUGCCUUCCGUAGUCCCUCACAAACUUCACAGAAGACACUGAUGAAUUGUGAAGUUGUCUGAGUACGUGUAAUGUCGUCCGCAGAAGACAUAACACCGGCAGAUGUUUCUCCAGCAUGGCACCAUGGGAGGAUGAUCAGUCACCAUCAUUAUCAGAAGAGGAUAUAUCACAUAUUUUACUUCGGAAAGCACUCAAAAUAAGAACGUUCAGUGAUACGGGAGGACCAAGGAAGAACAUCGACUUCCAAGUGGCUGUGCUGUGUGUAACUUUUCUGAAAUACAUUCUUUUCAGCUUAACUCUAUGUUCGUUGUCAUGCCUUAAGAGAGAUAUUUUGUGGGAAACCUCCCGCAUCAGACCUGUAGCAAGGAGACUAAGUUUCAUCGGUGGUUGCUUCUGUAACAGGGUGCCGCAGAGGAGUAAGAGGAGUAAAGGCAAAGGACAUUCCAACUCUAUUGAACUUUUAUCACUACUGUUUUUUAUAAGGGAAUAUUUACUCUUUACUAGCAGUGCCGUAGGCAUCGAAUUGAUUCUAAUAUUUUUCAGGGCGAAAGACUAUAUAAAAACGACACAAAUUACAAACAAGCAGUUUUCCUUUCACCCCAUUUCGGAACCUCCCUUGUUGAUGUUGAAUCAACAUUUAACAGUUCUUAAAUAUCUUCGCCAUUCUUUCCUUCUCUUUGAAAAUAAAUUUCCAUUUUGGUGCAUGUCUCUUGAGCCAGGGGUUUCGAGACUUGAACGUGAAAUCUUUACUUCCGGUGCUACAAAUUGGCUCUCGGUAAGCCACAUUGCAACAAUCAGUACACGAAAAAAAUUGCAAAAAUACAAGCUGAGUACUGUGUCGGUUUCCCUGUAUUUAAUUAGUUUCUUUUCCUCACUGUGGCUCGGUUUUAUCGUCGAUAGUGGCUCCAGAAAGUGGUGGGUAGAAAAACGAUGUUCGGUAAACCUAGGUACAAUCUGUAAAUAUUCAUCUUCAGCCUAUGAAGGUGAUGUAUCUUGCGGACAAUAUAUGUACAACAAUAACAGAGAUAGAAGAUAUAGUUUGGCCAACACUACGGAACUGGUUGCGUCCAUAUUGUUCGUUAUAUCUUUCUGCACCUCAUUGCUAUUAUGGAAAGAAAACGAUCAACACGAAGAUACGGAUCCAGUCGAUACCGCAAGAAAUCAUGGGGACAGAAAUGUAAGGACUAUUUUCGCGAGUUUAUUGCGUUUAUGUUUAGUAAUGUGGGCAUAAUUGGCCUCGUCGUUGGGUAUACCAUUGCAGGCGCAUUUGUGUUCAGAGCUAUCGAGGGAGGCGACAUCCCGCAUGUAAGCGCUAUAGUGGAGUUACGGAACAAGACUGCACUCAAACUGUGGGAUUUAUCGUGCUGUGGCCUCAACGUGUUUUCUGAGGAGAACUGGAGGGAAAAUGUGUCAACAGAGCUGCGGGAAUACCAGGAGCUGAUUGUGCUGGCUAUCCAGGAUGGCUAUGACGGAACUGACUACGUGAAUCAGACCCACAAGUGGCCCUUCUCAGGUGCUUUCCUCUACUCCCUCACAGUUAUCACCACAAUCGGUUAUGGAAACCUGGCUCCUCAGUCUGAAGUAGGCAAGGUGAUCACAAUCAUCUACGCUAUCAUCGGCAUGCCUCUGUUUCUGCUGUACCUCUCCAACAUUGGAGAUAUCUUUGCCAAGAGCUUCAAGUGGACAUACGCCAAAUGUUGUUUAUGUCAGGGCUGUUGCGAGGGCGCGUCGCGACGCCGUUCUGCUCGCCGCCAGCAGAUGGCGCUUGAACAUCCAGCGUCAGUUGGCGCUUUCUUGGGAAAUGACGAGUGGAGGGUGCAAUACAUGGUUGGCGCUGAUGACGUGGACAGCGGACAGGUUGCAGUACGCAUCGAACGCGGCGCUGGCGAGAACGAGGCGACUGACAGCGCUAGCAGCGGGGAAAGUGAACCAUACGACCCUCAGUCUGUCACGGUGCCCAUUACCCUCUGUCUCGCGAUCAUGGUGGGGUACAUCUGUUUCGGUGCUGUCCUGUUCUCCGAAUGGGAAGGCUGGAACUUCCUGGACAGUUCGUACUUCUGCUUCAUCAGCCUCAGCACCAUUGGGUUUGGAGAUAUCGUCCCGGGAGAACGAGUUAUCAAGAGCCAGGAGAUCGAGCUAAGCUUCAUCUUCUGCUCCAUGUAUUUGAUGUUCGGCAUGGCGCUCAUAGCGAUGUGCUUCAACCUAAUGCAGGAGGAAGUGGUCCACAAGAUGCGAAGCUGCAUGCGGUCCCUCAAGUUCAUUUUCAGCUGCAAGCGAAGGGAAAGAAGGGACGAUGAGGACGAUGUCUCCGGGAUCAGAUGACAGUGUCUUCUUCUUGAGAUUCACAGAAGUCGCCUCCCGGACACACUCUACAAGCUGUACCCCUCAAGCCAACCUCUUCAGUGCCGGGCAUUUGGCAUGCCAUUAUAUCAUCAAAUGGUAUGAAACUUUGUCAACGUUAGGCGGGUCCUUGUCACCACGGCAUGGCGCGUCUUCGGGCUGCGGAUGGAGGAGAUGCCCUUCAGGUCCUGGUUUACUGUCGGUUCUAGCAGGUUCCUGAAAACGUGCAAAGGAGAGGAAAAAGACGAGACAUUCCCCUUUCAACAUGAAGAGGCGGUGUGUGAUGAUAGAGGAAUAGGUGACAAGGGAUGAGGAAGAGUGAAGCUAAAUUACAGGAGAGUGAAGGAAGGGAUGGAAUUGGAAUGGAUGAUUACAAGGCAGCAGCGUUUCCUACUCUUCCAAGGAAAAACCUCAUUUCCAAGAAAACAAAUCUACACAAAAAUUCUCUUCUCGUAUUCAAAGUGGAGCAUCAGAAGAUAGUAACGAUGGCCUGGAUUCAUAUAGCAGCGCAAAUAUACAGACUUGUCGGCAUUACUGGGUACAAGUCUGCUAUUAUUCUCCAUGAAAAGUGGAACUGUUCUUAUUCAACUUGUAGGAAACUUAAAUUUUGUUUUGUAAAGAACUCGCCCCUAACAGCAAACCUUAAUCCAGUAGAAGAGUUCUAUCUUGUGGAAUAUAACGCAAUGUACUUCGCUGGAAGUUAACCCACGUUUUCAAUGAACAUAUCACCUCCGUCUUCAAGGUUAAAGGUAACCCAAACUGGCGUGAAGUUGGUACGAAACAGAGCUUUCUUGCAACCUGCUUCAGGCUAGUUUCCUUCGUCGAUUAUUCUUCGACCCUGAAGAUGAAGGCGAUAUACUCCUCAGAAACAUCGGUGGGCAUUCCUCAUGGUGUAAUUCCUCAUACAUUAAAAAAAUCUUCCAUUUCUUCUUUCCUGACAACGUUUCAAAAAUGUAAAGACAACUCUAGAGGAAGGCAAAGAACGAAGAAUUAUAUUUUACCUAGAAUUACUUUGGUACCAUUGAAAUAUAAUGAAAAUACACAUAGUAGACUUCCAUAUUUGCUCUUGGUUUUAAUUCCCUAUCCAGUAGUGGUAAUUCCACGACACUUUCAAAAUGGUCACUCAGUCAGGAGGCUGCAACAGAGGAGAAGAGUAAUAAUCAAAUGGUCCCGGGCACAGCAGUCGAAUUCAUGGGAGAUUGUAUGGUCGUAACAAAGGAAAGCUUAACAACGGGUGGAAAAUUCAAAGGCGGAGACAAACGCCUUUAACCAGUUCGUUUUGGUUUGCAAAGCGAACGUAAGAUGUGCAGAAGUACAAGAGCAGAUCAGCGUACCCGGGAUAACCAAAGAAUCAAUGCUGAUAAUUGUGAAGCCAAACUCAGUACCAGUAUCACAAGGAAACUGUAAAACUCGUGCAAGCCCCAACUACAGACCUCUUUUACUCGUGUAAUCUGGAAACUCUGACCGUUGAAGCACAUACGCGAAAGGGAGGCCACUUACUUAGACAAACAUA
Molecule: RNA transcript, 4241 nt
Organism: Cryptotermes secundus
Lineage: Eukaryota; Metazoa; Arthropoda; Insecta; Blattodea; Kalotermitidae
Gene: sand
Gene name: potassium channel subfamily K member 9
Exons: 10
Source: RefSeq, a predicted model, not a curated record